CCCACUCUCCAGCUUCUCUAUUACUAGUACCUGCAGGUGCCUCAGGGAAGCUGAGGCUCAGAUCUAACCUGCCCUCUGCCAUCCACCGGAGUAGUCUCCCAGGUCCGCCUGGGCUUCUCUCCACCAGGCAGGAACCUGAACCAUGCUGAGUUCCCUUGCUGUCCUGUGUGUCCUCCUGUUUCCCGGUGGUGCAGCGGGGCUCAAGCUGGAGCAGACUCCUGUGGUCGUGGGGCGCUUGGGCACCUUGGCCACCCUGCCGUGCACAGUGGAUACCUCGGUGAGCUACAUCCACUGGUACUUCCACAAGGAGGAUACAGCCCCCAAGAGGCUCCUCUACCUAGACAUGUCCAGGUCGUAUGUGCAGAGGGAUAUAUUCGUGAAAGCAGACAAAGUCAACGCCAAGAAAGGCAGGAACAGUUACAGCUGUAACCUGUUGUUGCAGAAACUGGAGAAGAAUGAUGAGGGCGUGUACUACUGUGCUGCCUGGGAAGCGCACAGCCACUCCUGCUGCCCUGGCCCCUGUGCAAAAAGAGCUGUGACAGACUGGUGAUGGAAGAAUCUGACCACCUGCGUGAAGAAUGUGGGAAUGAAAUAUGGUGCAAAUCAUUUCAAGAGUGAAAGACUCUGGAGAUUUACCACAAAAUGUUUGAAGGCUCAGACUGGGAGUCACCUCCUGAUUCCAGUUUCUAUGUUGCUGCCCUGCCCCCUACUAGUUACUUGCAGUGGAGAGUCAGGGAGCAGAGGCUCAGGAAGCUGAGGGCUAACUUCUCAGCACCUUCGUGCACUGGCAUGUCUGGGGCUCAACUCCUGUGAGGGGACAUGAUCCUCAGGGAGGUUGAUGCAUCAGCCCUGGGUGAGACCUGGGGACCUCCACCUUCUGCUUCUGCUUGAAUGCUACUCCAUAUGAUUUGGUCUAUAUUCCCUGGACCUCUGUUCUCUGCUCUGUAAAAUGAGGUGGUUUAACUGCCACAGUUGUGUGACUGAUUUCUGUAUCAAACCAAAAUUGUAUCAAUAAGAUAUCACUAUACUUACUAACUUCUUAUAAAAUUAGUCAACUUCUUGAGAAAGAAAAAAGAAUGAAGGAAAAAGAAAAGAAGAGCCAUAUUACUGAUUCUCUAGGAAUACCUCUGUGGCAGUAUGUGGGGAAAAGAAAAAGCUCUGUGAGAAAGUCUAAUUGAAUUAAAUGCAUUUUCAUUUGAAAA
This is a non-coding RNA of Canis lupus familiaris (dog), 1202 nucleotides long. Lineage: Eukaryota; Metazoa; Chordata; Mammalia; Carnivora; Canidae. The record is from the annotation of a RefSeq genome assembly.